CUACGGGGCGCUGCAGUGGGGAAUAUUGCACAAUGGAGGAAACUCUGAUGCAGCAACGCCGCGUGGAGGACGACACUUUUCGGAGCGUAAACUCCUUUUAUAUAGGAAGAAGAUGACGGUACUAUAUGAAUAAGCGCCGGCUAACUCCGUGCCAGCAGCCGCGGUAAUACGGAGGGCGCAAGCGUUACUCGGAAUCACUGGGCGUAAAGAGCGCGUAGGCGGAUUAAAAAGUCAGAAGUGAAAUCCUAUAGCUUAACUAUAGAACUGCUUCUGAAACUCUUAAUCUAGAAUAUGGGAGAGGUAGAUGGAAUUUCUGGUGUAGGGGUAAAAUCCGUAGAGAUCAGAAGGAAUACCGAUUGCGAAGGCGAUCUACUAGAACAUUAUUGACGCUGAGACGCGAAAGCGUGGGGAGCAAACAGGAUUAGAUACCCUCGUAGUC
RNAcentral lists this ribosomal RNA (439 nucleotides) under uncultured bacterium. RNAcentral describes it as "partial 16S ribosomal RNA". It matches the Rfam family "Bacterial small subunit ribosomal RNA", at positions 339 to 795 of the family's 1533-position model. The record is from RNAcentral.